CUGAUACUUAAAAAUCACUAUUAAACUUGCCCUGGAGAAGGGUUACUGAUGCUGGUCUAUUGUACUCUACAUUUCAUAUUGUGGGAAUCGAAUGUUGAUUCUGUAUUAGAACAAGAUUAGAAUUUUCUUGAUUUCGUGGCCUCUGCUGCCAUUUGGGUCCUUUAUCAAAAUCUAGCUAGUAACAAUUUAUGUAUAGUCAGCAUGAAAAUAUAUGUUGUACUUUGUCACACACAUUGCAGGAAUAUCCUGCACAAAUUAAAAGGACAAGUCAUGACAUGCCUUAGAGAGGGCCUGAAGAAGGUACUGAGGAAGGCCUGGCACCUCUCCAACCCCCUACGGUGCUCUUUGUUUAACAAAGGAAGCGUCCUUCGGACACAAUGGAAGAAGCUUUGGAGAAAAUCACCAUAUCAACAUGAUAAGAAGAGUACCGAGACAUCUUGGAAACAGCAGGAUGGCGACUGACUGGCACAAGAUAGAACAAGUGUCAGAAUGUAGUUAACAAAUGUAAAUCUUCGAUAAGAUUGUGAACCUGGAGUACUCAGCCAAUGGGGAAACAGGGCAGUGGGUAGGCAAGGGGGGAAACAAGUUACAAAAGCUGUCAUACUGUAUCCAUAGGUGCGCUCCUGUUUUACAGGACGCCCGCCAUUGCAAUUGCGAAUUAAAUCUGCUUUUAUCAGAGAUACCGUCCUGAUAAAUUAUUUGGAUAUUUCCAACAAUAUGAAGUUUUUGUUCGCUGCAAUUAAGCUCCAUCCGUACUUGUCAAAAAACAUGGCACCUGUGCCACGUGAACGUAUUCAAUCUGUGCGACAUCUCCCCAGCCCGAGCUUUCUCCCCUCCGUUUUCCCUUUCCGUGUUUGCAGGCUGGCUGAAGGCUCAGCUGAAGCACAGCAGCACCAUCUCGUGGGUACGGGCAAUGAUGACAGCAGCAAAGCCAUCGAGGAACAGCUCGGUAGCGCCGCUAUCAGGAACGGCAGAGAUCCUGCGAGCUAUUACCAGCUGGCUGUGUUUACACUUCUAAGUGGAGCUCUGCAGCGAGCAUCAAGGAGCACAUCCUGCCUGGCUCCUGCUUCUGUCAGCAAGGCAAACAGAGCCAGCGUCUAGUUGCUGAUGGCAUCAUUUUAAUAUUUGUCACUUAAUAAAUUCUGUAAUUUAUUUCUGUAAGAUUUGUAG
Molecule: long non-coding RNA, 1170 nt
Filed under: Numida meleagris (helmeted guineafowl)
Lineage: Eukaryota; Metazoa; Chordata; Aves; Galliformes; Numididae
Description: lncRNA (ENSNMEG00000004754.1)
Source: RNAcentral